This 19-nucleotide small nuclear RNA is filed under the name Arabidopsis thaliana (thale cress). RNAcentral's name for it is "snRNA_07361". The record is from RNAcentral. Lineage: Eukaryota; Viridiplantae; Streptophyta; Magnoliopsida; Brassicales; Brassicaceae.
ACGCGACGGGGUAUUGUAA